UGCGGUGAUGAGGCAUGUUACAAUCUCGUUAAUCUGACGAUUUGUGAGGAAAGAACAAUACCAUUCUCAACAGCUUCUGAGC
Molecule: small nucleolar RNA, 82 nt
Organism: Diospyros lotus (date-plum)
Lineage: Eukaryota; Viridiplantae; Streptophyta; Magnoliopsida; Ericales; Ebenaceae
Product: small nucleolar RNA U30
Exons: 1
Source: RefSeq, a predicted model, not a curated record